RNAcentral lists this ribosomal RNA (253 nucleotides) under uncultured bacterium. RNAcentral describes it as "partial 16S ribosomal RNA". It matches the Rfam family "Bacterial small subunit ribosomal RNA", at positions 524 to 776 of the family's 1533-position model. The record is from RNAcentral.
UACGUAGGGGGCAAGCGUUGUCCGGAAUCAUUGGGCGGAAAGCGCGUGUAGGCGGCUGAGUAAGUCUGCUCUGAAAGCCCGGGGCUCAACCCCGGGAGGCGGGUGGAUACUGCUCAGCUCGAGUCCGGAAGAGGAGUGUGGAAUUCCUGGUGUAGCGGUGAAAUGCGCAGAUAUCAGGAGGAACACCAAUGGCGAAGGCAGCACUCUGGGACGGUACUGACGCUGAGACGCGAAAGCGUGGGGAGCAAACAGG